AGUGAACGCUGGCGGUAGGCCUAACACAUGCAAGUCGAACGGCAGCACAGGAGAGCUUGCUCUCUGGGUGGCGAGUGGCGGACGGGUGAGGAAUACAUCGGAAUCUACUCUGUCGUGGGGGAUAACGUAGGGAAACUUACGCUAAUACCGCAUACGACCUACGGGUGAAAGCAGGGGACCUUCGGGCCUUGCGCGAUUGAAUGAGCCGAUGUCGGAUUAGCUAGUUGGCGGGGUAAAGGCCCACCAAGGCUACGAUCCUUAGCUGGCCUGAGAGGAUGAUCAGCCACACUGGAACUGAGACACGGUCCAGACUCCUACGGGAGGCAUCAGUGGGGAAUAUUGGACAAUGGGCGCAAGCCUGAUCCAGCCAUACCGCGUGGGUGAAGAAGGCCUUCGGGUUGUAAAGCCCUUUUGUUGGGAAAGAAAUCCAGCUGGCUAAUACCCGGUUGGGAUGACGGUACCCAAAGAAUAAGCACCGGCUAACUUCGUGCCAGCCGCCGCAGUAA
This 506-nucleotide ribosomal RNA is filed under the name uncultured bacterium. Its description in RNAcentral is "partial 16S ribosomal RNA". It matches the Rfam family "Bacterial small subunit ribosomal RNA", at positions 29 to 523 of the family's 1533-position model. The record is from RNAcentral.